CAAUUGCUUAUAACCUUUUGGUUAUAAAUAGUUGUUAGUGGCAGACGGGUGAGUAAUGCGUAGGAAUCUACCUAGUAGUAUGGAAUAGCCAUUAGAAAUGAUGGGUAAUACUGUAUAAUCCCCGCGGGGGAAAGAUUUAUCGCUAUUAGAUGAGCCUAUGUUAGAUUAGCUAGUUGGUGGGGUAAUGGCCUACCAAGGCGAUGAUCUAUAGCUGGUCUGAGAGGAUGAUCAGCCACACUGGAACUGAGAUACGGUCCAGACUCCUACGGGAGGCAGCAGUGGGGAAUAUUGGACAAUGGGCGAAAGCCUGAUCCAGCUAUGCCGCGUGAGUGAGGAAGGCCCUAGGGUUGUAAAACUCUUUCAGUAGGGAAGAUAAUGACGGUACCUAUAGAAGAAGUCCCGGCAAACUG
Molecule: ribosomal RNA, 410 nt
Filed under: Ehrlichia chaffeensis
Lineage: Bacteria; Pseudomonadati; Pseudomonadota; Alphaproteobacteria; Rickettsiales; Anaplasmataceae
Description: bacterial SSU rRNA
Rfam family: Bacterial small subunit ribosomal RNA
Source: RNAcentral